Mandrillus leucophaeus (drill) is the source of this 764-nucleotide RNA transcript. It is a transcript of the gene named tricarboxylate transport protein, mitochondrial-like, with no coding region annotated. The transcript is spliced from 2 exons. The record is from RefSeq and is a predicted model, not a curated record. NCBI's taxonomy places the organism in Eukaryota, Metazoa, Chordata, Mammalia, Primates, Cercopithecidae.
UAGCGCUCGCACCCGCUGCGGUACCAGAGCAUCCGGGACCGGUGUGGCCGAGUGUCUGCAACCAUGGCGUCCUGGGCCUGUACGCGGCCUCAGCUCCCUGCUCUACGGCUCCAUCCCCAAGGCGGCCGCCAGGUUCGGAAUGUUCUGGUUCCUCAGCAACCACAUGCGGGUUUCCCAGGGACGCUGGACAGCACGCGCGGGCUGCUGUGCUGCCUGGGCGCUGGAGUGGCUGAGGCCGUGGUGAUCAUGUGCCCCAUGAAGACCAUCAAGGUGAAGUUCAGUCGCCACACCUACCUAAACCCCCAGUACAGAGGAUUCUUCCGCGGGUUAGGAAGAUUGUGCGGUAGCAAGGACUGAAGGGGCUGUAUCAGGGCCUCACAGUCACGGUGCUGAAGCAGGGCUGGAAUCAGGCCAUCUGCUUCUUCGUCAUGACAUUCCCUGCACAGUUGGUACGGAGGGGACAACCCCAACAAGCCUAUGAACGUGCUGAUCACUGGGGUCUUUGGAGCCAUGGUGUGCACAGCCAGCGUCUUUGGAAACACUCCUCUGGACGUGAUUAAGACCCGCAGGUAGGGCCUGGAGGCGCACAAAUACCGGAACUCGAUGGACUGCCUCUGGCAGAUCCUGAGAAAGGAGGAGCUCAAGGAUUCUACAAGGGCAUUGUCCCGCUCCGGGCCAGGUCAGCCUGCCUGGUUGUGGCCAUAGUGUUUAUCAUCUAUGACGAGGUGGUGAAGCUGCUCAACGAAGUGUGGAAGACGGACUAA